This 492-nucleotide ribosomal RNA is filed under the name uncultured bacterium. RNAcentral describes it as "partial 16S ribosomal RNA". It matches the Rfam family "Bacterial small subunit ribosomal RNA", at positions 28 to 507 of the family's 1533-position model. The record is from RNAcentral.
GAUGAACGCUAGCUACAGGCUUAACACAUGCAAGUCGAGGGGCAGCGGUAUCGAAAGCUUGCUUUCGGUAGCCGGCGACCGGCGCACGGGUGAGUAACGCGUAUCGAACCUGCCUCAUACUCGGGAAUAGCCUUGCGAAAGUAAGAUUAAUGCCCGGUGUUUUCAGAGUCCCGCAUGAGGCUUUGAACAAAGAUUUAUCGGUAUGAGAUGGCGAUGCGUCCCAUUAGCUUGUUGGCGGGGUAACGGCCCACCAAGGCAUUGAUGGGUAGGGGUUCUGAGAGGAAGGUCCCCCACAUUGGAACUGAGACACGGUCCAAACUCCUACGGGAGGCAGCAGUGAGGAAUAUUGGUCAAUGGGCGGAAGCCUGAACCAGCCAAGUAGCGUGCAGGAAGACGGCCCUCCGGGUUGUAAACUGCUUUUAGUUGGGAAUAAAACGGGGCUCGUGAGCCCCCUUGCAUGUACCAUCAGAAAAAGGACCGGCUAAUUCCGUG